AAGAGAUUAAGAAAUUAAAAUAGCUGCUAACUAAUUUUAAAAGCGGUUUAAAUCCGUUUAUCUCUUU
RNAcentral lists this transfer RNA (67 nucleotides) under Batracomorphus chlorophana. Its description in RNAcentral is "tRNA-Ser". The record is from RNAcentral. Lineage: Eukaryota; Metazoa; Arthropoda; Insecta; Hemiptera; Cicadellidae.